AGAUCAUGUUGUGGACAGUUCGUUAGUAAGCCUUUGCAUCUUUCCCUUGCCUCAUAAAGUGACUCUCCAGCUUGUUGUUCAAAAUUGGCUAUGGCUUUCUUCAAAUU
Molecule: small nucleolar RNA, 107 nt
Organism: Lactuca sativa (garden lettuce)
Lineage: Eukaryota; Viridiplantae; Streptophyta; Magnoliopsida; Asterales; Asteraceae
Source: RefSeq, a predicted model, not a curated record